CCUACGGGCGGCAGCAGUGGGGAAUAUUGCACAAUGGGGGAAACCCUGAUGCAGCGACGCCGCGUGAGUGAAGAAGUAUUUCGGUAUGUAAAGCUCUAUCAGCAGGGAAGAAAAUGACGGUACCUGAUUAAGAAGCCCCGGCUAACUACGUGCCAGCAGCCGCGGUAAUACGUAGGGGGCAAGCGUUAUCCGGAUUUACUGGGUGUAAAGGGAGCGUAGACGGGAGGACAAGUCUGGAGGGAAAUGCCGGGGCUUAACCCCGGAACUGCUUUUGAAACUGUGGAGCUGGAGUGCAGGAGAGGUAAGUGGAAUGCCUAGUGUAGCGGUGAAAUGCGUAGAUAUUAGGAGGAACACCAGUUGCGAAGGUGGCUUACUGGACUGUAACUGACGUUGAGGCUCGAAAGCGUGGGGAGCAAACAGGAUUAGAUACCCCUGUAGUC
Molecule: ribosomal RNA, 440 nt
Filed under: uncultured bacterium
Lineage: Bacteria
Description: partial 16S ribosomal RNA
Rfam family: Bacterial small subunit ribosomal RNA
Source: RNAcentral